RNAcentral lists this long non-coding RNA (270 nucleotides) under Mytilus galloprovincialis (Mediterranean mussel). The record is from RNAcentral. Lineage: Eukaryota; Metazoa; Mollusca; Bivalvia; Mytilida; Mytilidae.
ACACUCACUAAUCAGAACAAAAUAAUGUUCACUGUUUUAUGUAGGAAGCAUGACAGAGAGCAUCCCAACUUGAAUUUUGUUUUCUUUCAAAGGGAUAAAUUGGUACAGGGGAGCGAAACAUAGCCUCUACCUAUACAUUUUUACAUGCAGAGAAAGGUAUUAGACGAACACAAUAUUCUCUUUGACAGUAAAAAAUAAUUCGAAAAGGAAUAAGUAACCAAAAAUUAAAGGACAUUCACAAAUUAUCGCCAAAUUAAUUACCAUUGAAAC